Molecule: ribosomal RNA, 500 nt
Filed under: uncultured Actinomycetes bacterium
Lineage: Bacteria; Bacillati; Actinomycetota; Actinomycetes
Description: bacterial SSU rRNA
Rfam family: Bacterial small subunit ribosomal RNA
Source: RNAcentral
UGGGGAAUAUUGCACAAUGGGCGGAAGCCUGAUGCAGCAACGCCGCGUGAGGGAUGACGGCCUUCGGGUUGUAAACCUCUUUUAGCAGGGAAGAAGCGAGAGUGACGGUACCUGCAGAAAAAGCGCCGGCUAACUACGUGCCAGCAGCCGCGGUAAUACGUAGGGCGCAAGCGUUAUCCGGAAUUAUUGGGCGUAAAGAGCUCGUAGGCGGUUUGUCGCGUCUGCUGUGAAAUCCCGAGGCUCAACCUCGGGCCUGCAGUGGGUACGGGCAGACUAGAGUGCGGUAGGGGAGAUUGGAAUUCCUGGUGUAGCGGUGGAAUGCGCAGAUAUCAGGAGGAACACCGAUGGCGAAGGCAGAUCUCUGGGCCGUAACUGACGCUGAGGAGCGAAAGGGUGGGGAGCAAACAGGCUUAGAUACCCUGGUAGUCCACCCGUAAACGUUGGGAACUAGUUGUGGGGUCCUUUCCACGGAUUCCGUGACGCAGCUAACGCAUUAAGUU